This 119-nucleotide ribosomal RNA is filed under the name Pteropus alecto (black flying fox). Lineage: Eukaryota; Metazoa; Chordata; Mammalia; Chiroptera; Pteropodidae. The record is from RNAcentral.
GUCUCCGGCCGUGCCACGUGGAACGUGCCCGAUCCUGUCUGAUCUCGGAAGCUAAGCAGGGUCGGGCCCGAUUAGUACUUGGAUGGGAGACCACCUAGGAAGAUGAGGUGCUGUAGGUG